RNAcentral lists this ribosomal RNA (506 nucleotides) under uncultured bacterium. RNAcentral describes it as "partial 16S ribosomal RNA". It matches the Rfam family "Bacterial small subunit ribosomal RNA", at positions 29 to 523 of the family's 1533-position model. The record is from RNAcentral.
AGUGAACGCUGGCGGUAGGCCUAACACAUGCAAGUCGAACGGCAGCACAGGAGAGCUUGCUCUCUGGGUGGCGAGUGGCGGACGGGUGAGGAAUACAUCGGAAUCUACUCUGUCGUGGGGGAUAACGUAGGGAAACUUACGCUAAUGCCGCAUACGACCUACGGGUGAAAGCAGGGGACCUUCGGGCCUUGCGCGAUUGAAUGAGCCGAUGUCGGAUUAGCUAGUUGGCGGGGUAAAGGCCCACCAAGGCGACGAUCCGUAGCUGGUCUGAGGAGAUGAUCAGCCACACUGGAACUGAGGCACGGUCCAGACUCCUACGGGAGGCAGCAGUGGGGAAUAUUGGACAAUGGGCGCAAGCCUGAUUCAGCCAUACCGCGUGGGUGAAGAAGGCCUUCGGGUUGUAAAGCCCUUUUGUUGGGAAAGAAAUCCAGCUGGCUAAUACCCGGUUGGGAUGACGGUACCCAAAGAAUAAGCACCGGCUAACUUCGUGCCAGCCGCCGCAGUAA